Long non-coding RNA from Salvia splendens (bonfire salvia), 3609 nucleotides. RefSeq lists it as uncharacterized. Lineage: Eukaryota; Viridiplantae; Streptophyta; Magnoliopsida; Lamiales; Lamiaceae. The record is from RefSeq and is a predicted model, not a curated record. The transcript is spliced from 5 exons.
UCUCUUUUUUUCAUUUUUUAAUGACGCAUGAGGGUCAUGCGUCUUAGAGAGAGACGCAUCUCCCUCAUGCGUCUUUUAUAUUUUUUAAAUUUCACGGACGACGCAUGAGCGUCAUGCGUCUUAGAAAGAGACGCAUGGGGCUCAUGCGUCUCCAAUUUCGAAUUAAAGCAGCAGCGAAGGCAGUAGCCUCCUCAUUCACGCAAACAGAAAGAGAGACGACGAACUUGGCGAUUUUUCCUUUGUUAUUCGGCGAAGAAGACGAUUUCCACUCGUGUUCCGAUAAGUUUCGUUCAAUCCUUCAACCUUCCUUCCUUAAUUGUUGUUAAUUUGCAUAGUUUGUUUAGAUUUCCCCUAAUGUUUGUAAAUUAGGGUUUAUAACAAAUAGCUCCAUUUUGGUCAAUUUUUUUGUUGUUUAGUUAAUUGUAAUGGAUUUUAGUGGGUAAAUUCAUUGUAUUGUAUAUUAUUGGUAUGUUUGAGAUGAUUGGUGUUGUGAUUUUGGUUGUAAUUUGGUUAAAAUAAGUGAAGACUAACCGGAACAAAAAAAUAAGAUUAGGUGAAGUGAAUUAUCAGGCCUUCUAAAAACUGUUCUAUAACCUAACACAUUGCACUUGCAACCCUCUAUCACUUGUUGUUCUCUUGUUAUAUUAUGUUAUUUGUACAUGCCAUUGUGAGUUUGUAAUUGUUGUUUUGUGAAUAUGUACUUAGAUUAGAUGGAGACUUCAAGUUCUAGCGGACAUUUAUUGUAUGGACCCGAAGACCCGUUCGUCUUAAAUAUGCAAAAAAAUCACAUUUCAAAUAAACUCAUGAAAGAGGGAACAACCCAAGUAUUUAAAGUCCGAAGGACUGAAAGUAAGACUUGGGACGUCGAAAUUCAUGAGAAUGUUAGAUAUUGGCUUGACGUCUUUGGUUUCAAAGGCGUGAUCGAUUGUGGGAGGCCCAUGAAGGUCGACAAUGAGCUGAUCACGGCGUUGAUUGAGCGUUGGAGGCCGGAGACACACACUUUCCAUCUACCGAUCGGUGAGACGACGAUCACCUUGGAAGAUGUGCAAGCCAUUUGAGGCUUGAGGGCGGAUGGUCACGUUUUCACAGGGCGUGACUAUCAUGACAACUUUUCAGAUUGGACCAACAAGUGCCGCGAUCUGUUGGGAUGGAUACCAGAUACUUCCAUAGAGACAAAGCAAGACGGUUUGCUGAUGACCGCACUGAUCAACCAGACAAGGAUGCCUCUGGGUGAUGACCUACCUACGCACGUAUACAUCCAAAGGGCACGUAUCCAUGCCCUAAUUUCUAAUUUUAUUAGGAGGUCUCAUUCUAUCGGACACAAUGGGGUGUAAGGUGCCAUUUAUGUGGUUGAAUGGGCUUGGGGAUCCGGAAGAGGUGAAGAAUAUUAGUUGGGGAAGUGCGGCAUUGGCGUACCUUUAUCAUUAUCUGUGCGAGGCUUCCAUGGAUAAGAGAAAAGAGUUGGGCAGGCCUAUGAUCCUUCUGCAGAUAUGGGCGUGGGAAAGAAUGCUCACAUUGAGGCCUGCGUUCAUAGGACCAGUUGUGCACGAGCCAUAUACACCAUGUGGCGCCAGGUGGAAAGGAACAACGCAGAUAGGAAAUGCUCCUAGACACUCGGCUUGACGUCUUUGGUUUCAAAGGCGUGAUCGAUUGUGGGAGGCCCAUGAAGGUCGACAAUGAGCUGAUCACGGCGUUGAUUGAGCGUUGGAGGCCGGAGACACACACUUUCCAUCUACCGAUCGGUGAGACGACGAUCACCUUGGAAGAUGUGCAAGCCAUUUGAGGCUUGAGGGCGGAUGGUCACGUUUUCACAGGGCGUGACUAUCAUGACAACUUUUCAGAUUGGACCAACAAGUGCCGCGAUCUGUUGGGAUGGAUACCAGAUACUUCCACAGAGACAAAGCAAGACGGUUUGCUGAUGACCGCGCUGAUCAACCAGACAAGGAUGCCUCUGGGUGAUGACCUACCUACGCACGUAUACAUCCAAAGGGCACGUAUCCAUGCCCUAAUUUCUAAUUUUAUUAGGAGGUCUCAUUCUAUCGGACACAAUGGGGUGUAAGGUGCCAUUUAUGUGGUUGAAUGGGCUUGGGGAUCCGGAAGAGGUGAAGAAUAUUAGUUGGGGAAGUGCGGCAUUGGCGUACCUUUAUCAUUAUCUGUGCGAGACUUCCAUGGAUAAGAGAAAAGAGUUGGGCAGGCCUAUGAUCCUUCUGCAGAUAUGGGCGUGGGAAAGAAUGCUCACAUUGAGGCCUGCGUUCAUAGGACCAGUUGUGCACGAGCCAUAUACACCAUGUGGCGCCAGGUGGAAAGGAACAACGCAGAUAGGAAAUGCUCCUAGACACUCGGUUGAGCAUUACCGUGACCAAAUAUCCCUGAUUAGACCUGGCUAGUUUAUCUGGACGCCAUAUGCACCUUUCAUACUGCCUGACUACUGCAAUGAUGUGACUGGAUGCUCUUUGUGCGAAACCUACUUGGUAUGUUGGGCCUAUGUCGAUGCCCAUGAGCCUGGAAGAGUGCGCCGACAGUUCAAUCGGUAUCAGGAUAUACCUCAGUAUGUAGACAGGAUGCUAAGGAACGCCGAUCAUUUGGGCAAAAAUGAUCGGCGUGGUAAGAAGGGCAACAACUGGGCAAACACGCAUCAGUUCUACAUUGGGGAGUGGGACAUGAGAUACGAAAGGUUCCAAGCUGCCGAAUACGCCGCACCGAUGUCCAUGAAUAUUCCCAUGAACCCGGGGUAUAUGGCGUGGUAUAACAGGAUUACCGUGACGUACAUGACUCAGCCUGGGACACGGGCCACUGCUGGGAUGAACGAGUCGGCUGCUUCGAUGAGACUAUUUGUUGAGGGUUUUCAGCAGGUUUUCCAUUUAACUACGAAAGACGAAAUGGACCCACGAGUGCGCCAGAUUUGAGAAAUUAUUAAGAAUGUCCUCGAAUCUACGAACAACGCUGAUGUCAUGGAGUACCCCGCUUCUCAACAUCAGGAUGUGGUCAUGCCUUAUGAACCAGAAGUAGUUCCACGACGUCGUGGAGUGCCUGGUGUUUGGACUGGGGGACACGGCUAUACAAAGCAGUUUAGGAUGUCCCAGCCGUUGCCCGAUUAUGUAGCACCAGAGCCGCAGCAUCAAGAGCAUGACCCACCCCAGUGGUAUUCAUACCCGGCGCAUGAGUCUCAAUCACAGUGGGAGCGUCCCCUGUAUUCUCCUAGCCAGCCUGAGCCCGAUUGGACUCGUCGCCCAUAUUCACAAAGCCAAGACGUGCAGCAAUGGAGUGGAGCCCAAGCGUCGGUCGAUUCAUUCUUCCAGAAUUAUCAGAUCGUGCAUCCUGUACAAGCUGAAGAAGAUGAUGAUGAAAGAGAAGAAGAAACUGACAACGUAGGGGAGGAAAAUUAGGAGGAAGACGUUGUUCAAAGCAUCCAUGUCCAACCUCGACCAGAUAUGGAGGGUUCAUCACGCGGCGGGGUUGGGAAGCUCAUGAGUAAAGUUUACAAGAGACUGUCAAUGAGAAAGAAUAAGGGGAUUGAACCGUCUAAAUACACUCCGUCGUCGUAUAAGUAGCAACUGUUAUCAUAAAUAGAAGUUACAAUUACUGAUGGCGAAACUUGGAUGGUUUGUU